GUCGUCACUUUCAACAGGAGCCAAAGAACUCCCUUGUUCAAACCCUAACUAGCAUAAAUUCAAGCAAAUUGGAAGGGCAAAUCACACCCAAAUUGAAAUCCAAGCACGGAUUAGUGAUCACCUCAGUGAAGUGAUCAUAAGUUUGACUCUUGACGAACUAGGUGAAGCUUGGAGGAGAUGAUCAAACGGGAUAAAGGCACGAGUAAGACUUGCUUGGAUGAAAGGUGAUGUUCGUCUCAUUUCGGAUGCCGAUCAAGCAAGAAUUCAAGAACCGAACACAAAGUUUUGAAGCUUCCGCGCUAACCUAAUCUUGUUUGAGACAAUGUUUAUUUGUAAACACUAAACUCAAUGUUGUAUGUUUAAACUAGUUAGUUUGUAAACUAGAAUACCAUAACCAUGUAAACUUAGUUUUUAUAACUAAGUUUUGAAA
This is a long non-coding RNA of Helianthus annuus (common sunflower), 430 nucleotides long. RefSeq lists it as uncharacterized. The record is from RefSeq and is a predicted model, not a curated record. The transcript has 3 exons. NCBI's taxonomy places the organism in Eukaryota, Viridiplantae, Streptophyta, Magnoliopsida, Asterales, Asteraceae.